Molecule: ribosomal RNA, 492 nt
Filed under: uncultured bacterium
Lineage: Bacteria
Description: partial 16S ribosomal RNA
Rfam family: Bacterial small subunit ribosomal RNA
Source: RNAcentral
AGUGAACGCUGGCGGUAGGCCUAACACAUGCAAGUCGAACGGCAGCACAGUAAGAGCUUGCUCUUACGGGUGGCGAGUGGCGGACGGGUGAGGAAUACAUCGGAAUCUACUUUUUCGUGGGGGAUAACGUAGGGAAACUUACGCUAAUACCGCAUACGACCUACGGGUGAAAGCAGGGGAUCUUCGGACCUUUCGCGAUUGAAUGAGCCGAUGUCGGAUUAGCUAGUUGGCGGGGUAAAGGCCCACCAAGGCGACGAUCCGUAGCUGGUCUGAGAGGAUGAUCAGCCACACUGGAACUGAGACACGGUCCAGACCCCUACGGGAGGCAGCAGUGGGGAAUAUUGGACAAUGGGCGCAAGCCUGAUCCAGCCAUACCGCGUGGGUGAAGAAGGCCUUCGGGUUGUAAAGCCCUUUUGUUGGGAAAGAAAAGCAGCAGGUUAAUACCCCGCUGUUCUGACGGUACCCAAAGAAUAAGCACCGGCUAACUUCGUG